This 497-nucleotide ribosomal RNA is filed under the name uncultured bacterium. Its description in RNAcentral is "partial 16S ribosomal RNA". It matches the Rfam family "Bacterial small subunit ribosomal RNA", at positions 28 to 507 of the family's 1533-position model. The record is from RNAcentral.
GAUGAACGCUGGCGGCGUGCCUAAUACAUGCAAGUCGAGCGAACGGACGAGAAGCUUGCUUCUCUGAUGUUAGCGGCGGACGGGUGAGUAACACGUGGAUAACCUACCUAUAAGACUGGGAUAACUUCGGGAAACCGUAGCUAAUACCGGAUAAUAUUUUGAACCGCAUGGUUCAAAAGUGAAAGACGGUCUUGCUGUCACUUAUAGAUGGAUCCGCGCUGCAUUAGCUAGUUGGUAAGGUAACGGCUUACCAAGGCAACGAUGCAUAGCCGACCUGAGAGGGUGAUCGGCCACACUGGAACUGAGACACGGUCCAGACUCCUACGGGAGGCAGCAGUAGGGAAUCUUCCGCAAUGGGCGAAAGCCUGACGGAGCAACGACGCGUGAGUGAUGAAGGUCUUCGGAUCGUAAAACUCUGUUAUUAGGGAAGAACAUAUGUGUAAGUAACUGUGCACAUCUUGACGGUACCUAAUCAGAAAGCCACGGCUAACUAAGUG